UGAGGAAUAUUGGUCAAUGGGCGCAAGCCUGAACCAGCCAUGCCGCGUGCAGGAUGACGGUCCUAUGGAUUGUAAACUGCUUUUGUACAGGAAGAAACACUCCCUCGUGAGGGAGCUUGACGGUACUGUAAGAAUAAGGAUCGGCUAACUCCGUGCCAGCAGCCGCGGUAAUACGGAGGAUCCAAGCGUUAUCCGGAAUCAUUGGGUUUAAAGGGUCCGUAGGCGGUUUUAUAAGUCAGUGGUGAAAUCUGGUCGCUCAACGAUCAAACGGCCAUUGAUACUGUAGAACUUGAAUUACUUGGAAGUAACUAGAAUAUGUAGUGUAGCGGUGAAAUGCUUAGAGAUUACAUGGAAUACCAAUUGCGAAGGCAGGUUACUACGAGUUAAUUGACGCUGAUGGACGAAAGCGUGGGGAGCGAACAGGAUUAGAUACCCUGGUAGUCCACGCCGUAAACGAUGGAUACUAGCUGUUUGGAGCAAUCUGAGUGGCUAAGCGAAAGUGAUAAGUAUCCCACCUGGGGAGUACGCUCGCAAGAGUG
This 539-nucleotide ribosomal RNA is filed under the name uncultured bacterium. Its description in RNAcentral is "bacterial SSU rRNA". It matches the Rfam family "Bacterial small subunit ribosomal RNA", at positions 355 to 896 of the family's 1533-position model. The record is from RNAcentral.